RNAcentral lists this ribosomal RNA (565 nucleotides) under uncultured Glomeromycotina. Its description in RNAcentral is "SSU rRNA". It matches the Rfam family "Eukaryotic small subunit ribosomal RNA", at positions 548 to 1114 of the family's 1831-position model. The record is from RNAcentral. Lineage: Eukaryota; Fungi; Glomeromycota.
UUGGAGGGCAAGUCUGGUGCCAGCAGCCGCGGUAAUUCCAGCUCCAAUAGCGUAUAUUAAAGUUGUUGCAGUUAAAAAGCUCGUAGUUGAAUUUCGGGGUUAAUAGGUUGGUCAUGCCACUGGUAUGUACUGGUCUCACUGAUUCCUCCAUCCUGAUGAGACGUAAUGCCAUUAGUUUGGUGUUGCGAGGAAUCUGGACUGUUACUUUGAAUAAAUUAGAGUGUUUAAAGCAAGCUAACGCUUGAAUACAUUAGCAUGGAAUAAUGAAAUAGGACGUUCGAUCCUAUUUUGUUGGUUUCUAGGAUUGACGUAAUGGUUAAUAGGGAUAGUUGGGGGCAUUAGUAUUCAAUUGUCAGAGGUGAAAUUCUUGGAUUUAUUGAAGACUAACUACUGCGAAAGCAUUUGCCAAGGAUGUUUUCAUUAAUCAAGAACGAAAGUUAGGGGAUCGAAGACGAUCAGAUACCGUCGUAGUCUUAACCAUAAACUAUGCCGACUAGGGAUCGGAUGAUGUUAAUUUUUUAAUGACUCAUUCGGCGCCUUACGGGAAACCAAAGUGUUUGGGUUC